GCCGAAGUGGCGGAACCGGCAGACGCGCACGACUCAAAAUCGUGUGGGGCAACCCGUGAGAGUUCGACUCUCUCCUUCGGCA
Molecule: transfer RNA, 82 nt
Filed under: Chloroflexota bacterium
Lineage: Bacteria; Bacillati; Chloroflexota
Description: tRNA-Leu
Rfam family: tRNA
About the family: Transfer RNA (tRNA) molecules are approximately 80 nucleotides in length. Their secondary structure includes four short double-helical elements and three loops (D, anti-codon, and T loops).
Source: RNAcentral